Molecule: long non-coding RNA, 768 nt
Filed under: Brassica rapa (field mustard)
Lineage: Eukaryota; Viridiplantae; Streptophyta; Magnoliopsida; Brassicales; Brassicaceae
Description: long non-coding RNA (BRAP_LNC001323)
Source: RNAcentral
CAACCGAUGCUUGUGUCUUUCCUAUAAUUAUCUUUUUUUAAGAAAGGCUUUUGAUUUUUCUUAUCUUAAAAAGUUUUUGAAGCUGCGGAAGAAGCGAAGUUAUAGAUGGCUUCUGAAAAUUCGCUGGUAUACAUUGGUGGUGCAGACAAGUUCCUAUAGUUGUUUAGCAAAUGAGUAAGUAAUAAUUUUUUGAGUCUCAGCAUUUAUUCGUUAUGCAAUUUUGAAUUCUUUUUAGUUUUUUUCUUUUGCAGAGGAGUCGUUGUUACCACGUAACGAGUUUUUUGAGUCUCAGCAUUUAAUUUUCUGUAAUCUUAUUCUCCUCUUCUUCUCUAUCGUUCCAUUUUCUUUGUCGUUUUAUUUUGAGUAUAGCAAAGAUCUUUAUUCUAACAACUUCUUCUCUUAUUCUGAAAAUAAUUCUAUAUCAUUCCUUCUGCAUGAGUCAAGUUGAAGGUUUUCUCAGAUUACACUUCUAUUUUAUAACUUUAUUGUUCACAGCAUAAUAGAAAAUCUGGGCUUUUUUCGUAAAGUACUAUUAUCGGAGACAUGAAGUUAUUCUUAAUAUUAAAAGGUAUAUUCUUGUGGAAAAAGGUAAACACAUUUUUAUUUAUAAUUAUGAAAUCCAAAGCUUUUUGAAAAAUCUUUUGUGGUAAAACAUGAUAAAAAAAAAACUUGAAAGGGAAAUAGAAAAAAUCAGCGUGCUAUUGAUUUCUAUUUACUAACUAUUUUAUGUAUAUAUUAUUUAAAGUUUAUUAACUUUUCCAAUCAAGC